Molecule: signal recognition particle RNA, 267 nt
Filed under: Actinobacteria bacterium RBG_16_67_15
Lineage: Bacteria; Bacillati; Actinomycetota
Description: signal recognition particle sRNA large type
Rfam family: Bacterial large signal recognition particle RNA
About the family: The signal recognition particle (SRP) is a universally conserved ribonucleoprotein involved in the co-translational targeting of proteins to membranes. Archaeal SRP consists of a 7S RNA and homologues of the eukaryotic SRP19 and SRP54 proteins.
Source: RNAcentral
UCGUGCUAGGCGGGGCGCUAGGGGUGCCCUGAACCCGAAACCCUCUCUAUGCGGGGCCGAAUCCCCGCCCGAGGGUCGGCAUGGUCGGGUCGAGCGCCCGAAACGUGGUGUUGAAGGCUGGGUCCUGCGCGGCGGGACGCUGUGAAACGGGUCAGGUCCGGAAGGAAGCAGCCCUAAGCGGUCGUCACCGGGUGCCGCAGGAGUGCCUGGCCCGAGCCGGCGGUCGGGGACGCGCCGGUCAUGCCGAUUCGACGGCGGGGGGCACGA